CCUGUUAAUAAAAUUCGUGAGAAACUUUAUUUUCAAGAAUAAUGCAUCUGCUCACAGAAUUUGAAGAUAUAUUUGCUUCGUAAAGUUUUGAGUUGUGAUUAUGCUGAAGGAAACAUCCAAAUUACAAGAGAGAUUAGUUACAUGAAAGAAAAUCUACAAAAAAAUGCUAUAGUAAGUUAUUUCUUUGCAUUAACAUGAUCAAUGUUUAUCUGGUAACAAAACCAAGCUCAGUUGUGAAAUCCAAACUCCUAGGAAGAAUCUUUCCAUCUUGAGCUCAGUAUUGAUUAUUUCAUCCUGCUGAUUCAUUGUCAAUAUCUCUCCUCAAUCACCUUUACAGUGUUUUCGCAGACCAAGUCGAGAAAAUCCACAAGAGUUUGCUUCUCUUUAAAGCAUGUAUAUAUAUACAUACAUCAUCAUGUAGACUAAUUUACAAAACUCGACAUAUGCUUUCUUUGGGAUCAGUGCAAAUUUCAAGACUGCAUGUACUACUGUUAGAAAUAGGAGAUUAGAGUUCUUGAAACUGCAACUAGACCUUUCCAUCCGAUGAAGAAAGAUUGUUAUCAGAUUUUACCGUUGUAGAAUAUGAUCUGGAGACUGAAUUGGUGCCUUUAGAGGGGGAUGAGGAAGGAGCAGGCAGCUUCUUGGGCAACAUUUGUUCCCAGUAAGCCUUAGGCAAUCUUGAUGCGUCUGAUGAGAGAACAACGAAAGCAAGAAGAGUAAAUAGUAAGCACUUUUGCCUCCAAGAAACUAACAUGUUGAAGACUACCGUCAGGAGAUGCCUUGAGAGCUCUCCUUUAACAUUCCAAAGUAGCAGCUUUAGAGAGUUUGUGCCAGCAGACAAGUUGAGUAAUGUAAGGGAACUGCCAACUUCAUUGUUUGAGGAGAGAUGCGUCAAUGGCAGACAAGGGAUAAUUUGAUAAUACUAAACUGUUAAGCAGUUCAUGUUGUUGCUCUCAUUGUCUAAUAGGAAAUAGAAUCUGAGUGUAUGAGCAAGGAAUUUGAGGGAUUUUAGUAUUCAUCAGGGACCACUCAUUAGUUGGGGUGAGAAUGGGAUCAUACUACUACAUGAAAGCAAAUUCUGAUUAAAAUAUAUCAACUUAUUAAACCUAAUAUUG
Molecule: long non-coding RNA, 1115 nt
Filed under: Populus trichocarpa (black cottonwood)
Lineage: Eukaryota; Viridiplantae; Streptophyta; Magnoliopsida; Malpighiales; Salicaceae
Description: long non-coding RNA (PTRI_LNC001572)
Source: RNAcentral